CGGGGUGUGGCGCAGCUUGGCAGCGCGCUUCGUUCGGGACGAAGAGGCCGCCGGUUCAAAUCCGGCCACCCCGACCA
This 77-nucleotide transfer RNA is filed under the name Nocardiopsaceae bacterium. RNAcentral describes it as "tRNA-Pro". It matches the Rfam family "tRNA". Rfam says of the family: Transfer RNA (tRNA) molecules are approximately 80 nucleotides in length. Their secondary structure includes four short double-helical elements and three loops (D, anti-codon, and T loops). RNAcentral also lists the same sequence under 4 other names. The record is from RNAcentral. Lineage: Bacteria; Bacillati; Actinomycetota; Actinomycetes; Streptosporangiales; Nocardiopsidaceae.